This is a long non-coding RNA of Rhineura floridana, 966 nucleotides long. RefSeq lists it as uncharacterized. The record is from RefSeq and is a predicted model, not a curated record. Lineage: Eukaryota; Metazoa; Chordata; Lepidosauria; Squamata; Rhineuridae. The transcript is spliced from 3 exons.
GAGCUCAGAGCUACCGCUCUUCACACUUCCUGGUAGCGUCUCUCCAAAGCUCGUUCUGAUAGAUUCCCGUUCUCAGGGACUGGGGGAUGGGACGGUCAUUGCUCGAGGAAGAGGCUCCGGGGUGGCUGGUUGCCUAUUAGUUCUAAGUAUAACGUCCCAAGAGUAAAAUCUUGACCAUUUCUCAUUUGCGGAGUGUACGGAUGAGGAACCUGCGCCCUCCCCAGAUGUUGUUGAACCCCAACUCCCACCAGGUCGAGGCAGCACGGCUAAGGAUUGCCAGGGUUGAUGGGAGCUAUAGUCCAACAUUUGGCAAAGUAAAAUGUCAGGCAAAACAAAAUACAAUGGAAAAAGUAUGAAAUGCAUACACAUCAAAUCUAAAACAGAAAAACAGCACAGUAUAAAACAAAUACAAACCUUUGACAGAGGAAACAGCAGUGCAAAAGAUAUAAAAAGCACAAAAACACUUUUCUACAAGGCCUGAGGGAAUGAAAAGGUCUUUAUCCGGUGCUGAAAAGACCACCGUGUGAGCGUCAGAAAUCAGGACUAAAGAACAUAUAGCCAGGAGUUGUCUAAGCAUGAUGAAUUUGUGGCAGUCAGGAAGGGCAGUCCAUCUCCAAUAUUUCUCCUGAGCGAGCUUUCACUGUUAUUGUUGAAUACUUCGUUUCUUCAAGGCUCCUUCUACAGCCCCACAUCUGGAAGCUUUCUGAACAAUGCUGCUUUUCUCACAGCUAUAGGAUCCAUCCCAUGCCUGUUCUGUGCAGAGAUGGAAGGUGGUCCAUCCCUUGACCAGUAGCAGUGACCAAGAUGCUCCCAGCUGUUCCUCUGUGGGAUUAUCCUCUCCAUCUCCAUCCAACCAGCAACUCUUAAAUGAUGACAACAAUAUAUGAACAAGUUCAUCUUUCAAUAAAAAACCACACUUGGUAAUGUGUCUUUUCCUUUCAGGAUCUUCUCCAUCCCAGAUUUUGC